RNAcentral lists this ribosomal RNA (253 nucleotides) under uncultured bacterium. RNAcentral describes it as "partial 16S ribosomal RNA". It matches the Rfam family "Bacterial small subunit ribosomal RNA", at positions 524 to 776 of the family's 1533-position model. The record is from RNAcentral.
UACGGGGGGGGUAAGCGUUGUUCGGAAUUACUGGGCGUAAAGGGCUCGUAGGCGGCCAACUAAGUCGGACGUGAAAUCCCUCAGCUUAACUGGGGAACUGCGUCCGAUACUGGAUGGCUUGGAUUUGGGAGAGGGAUGCGGAAUUCCAGGUGUAGCGGUGAAAUGCGUAGAUAUUCGGAAGAACACCAGUGGCGAAGGCGGCUCACUGGACCGGUAUUGACGCUGAGGUGCGAAAGCGUGGGGAGCAAACAGG